RNAcentral lists this transfer RNA (71 nucleotides) under Ixodes scapularis (black-legged tick). RNAcentral's name for it is "tRNA-Ser". The record is from RNAcentral. Lineage: Eukaryota; Metazoa; Arthropoda; Arachnida; Ixodida; Ixodidae.
UCCUGGUUAGCUCAGUUGGUGGAGCGCUCCACCGGAAAUGCAUGUCCCUGGUUCGAUACCAGAACCAGGCG